Molecule: long non-coding RNA, 4352 nt
Filed under: Sus scrofa (pig)
Lineage: Eukaryota; Metazoa; Chordata; Mammalia; Artiodactyla; Suidae
Description: lncRNA (ENSSSCG00035063632.1)
Source: RNAcentral
GGGUGGGGUCCGACUUUGUGUCAGUGAUGCAGGGUCAAUAUUUUUUAUUUCUAACAUUUCUUUUAGAAUUCCCAUCUCUCUGCUUGUAUUAUCCCUCUGUUCUUCCAUGUGGCUGACUUUUUCCACUAGAGGACUCAACAUACUAACCAUUGCUAUCUUAAAUUCGUCUUCUGAUAAUUCCAAUAUUUCUGCCAUAUCUGGGUCUGCUUCUAACGCUUGCUGUCUCUUCAAACUAUUUUCCCCCUUUUAUGACGCCUUGGAAUUUUUUUUUUUUUCAUUGAAAGCCUGACUUGAUGUCCUAGAUAAAAGGAACAUGGCAUGGUUCCCACAGAGGUUUCUGCUCCAGUAAGUUGUGAUUCUCUGUAUCUGCCUUAUCUACCUGUCUGUCUUUCUAAUUUUUGAGGCAGUGGUUUGUCCUAUGACCUCAUUUCUGUGACAGAUCUAAGAAGAAUGGUUGAUUUUCAGUUUGCUUAGAUUUUUUUCUUAUUAUGUAGAUGGGAAUCAUGACUUCCGAGCUCUUUACAGGCCAGGCUGGAAGCUGGAAAUCUGAUAUCCAUUUGUUGUAACACAUUUUCUUGCAAAAAAACCAAAAAUCCUUUGUUCUCUGAAUAACCUUGUUACUCUUGUUUGAAAAAAAUGGAUCGUAGGUGUGUGGGUCUAUUUUGAGAAGUUGUUCUCUUCCAUUGGUCUACGUGUUUUUUCCUACACUAAUACCACACUCUAUUGAUUAUUGUAAUUGCAUAGUAAGUCUUAACAUCAAACAGUGUAAGUCCUCCAAAAAUGUUCUUCUUUUUCAAAUUUGUUUUGGAUAUUAUAGGUUCUUUUCAUUUUCAUGUGAACUUUAGAAUCAGCCUUCCAAUUUUUAUUUAUAAGAAAGCCUGCUCUAAUUUUUCAUUUCUUUGCAGUUGUUCAUAAUAUUUUUGUCUGGUGUUGGUAUCAGGGUAAUGCUGACCUUAUGAAAAUACUGGGAAGUGUUCCACCCUCCUCAGUAUUUUAAGAGUUUGUGUUUGAUUGGAUGUCUUUUUUUAUUGUGUUUUUUGUUAUUAUUAUUAUUUUUUAAUAGUUAUAUCCCCAAUACAUUUUUUUUCCUACUGUACAGCAAGGUGACCCAGUCACACAUAUAUAUACACAUUCUAUUUUUGCACAUGAUCAUGCUCCAUCAUAAGUGACUGGAUAUAGUUCCCAGUGCUACACAGCAAGAUCUCAUGGCUAAUCCAUUCCAAAGGCAAUAGUUUGUAUCUUUUAACCCCAAGCUCCCCAACCACCCCACUCCCUCCCCCUCCCCCUUGGCAACCAGGAGUCUAUUCUGCAAGUCCAUGAUUUUCUUUUCUGUGGAAAGGUUCAUUUGUGCCUUAUAUGAUUCCAGGUAUGAGUGAUAUCAGAUGGUAUUUGUCUUUCUCUUUCUGACUUAUUGGAUUUAUUUCUUACUCAAAUGUUUGAUAAGAGUCUCUGUGGAGCGAUAUUGGCCAGGGAUUUCCCUUGUGGAAAGGUUUUACGAAAUAAAUUUAAAUUCCGUGUCUAUGAUAGAUAUGGAACUAUUUAUGUUUUCUCUUUCUUCUUAUGUCAAUUUUGAUAAUUUGUGAUUUUCAAGGACUUUGAUGAUUUCACUUCAGUUGCCAAAGUUAUCUUAAAAUUGUUUCUAAUAUUCUUUUAAUGUCUUCUAAACACUUUGAUUCCUGAUAUUAAUAAUUUAUCUUUUAUUUCUUUUUUUCAUGAUCAAUUUAGAUAGAGGUUUGUUGAUUUUUAUCUGUCUUUUCAAAAGCAUAAGCUAUUGGUUUUAUUGAGGUUCUUUAGUAUAUGUUGAGUUUUGCUCAUUAUUUCCUUUCUUCUACUUACUUUGGUUUUAAUACAGUCUUCUUCUUUCAAACUUCCUCAGGUAAAUUAAUAGUGUGUUAAGAGACCCCAGGACGACCCCCUGGUUCAGUGAUUUUCCAGGAUGACUAGCAGGACUCAGCAUAUAGACAUAUUCAUUGCUAAGAUUUCUUACAGCAAAAGAUACAAAGCAAUACUGCAAAGAGAAAAGGCACAGGUGAAGUUUAAAGGAAACCAGGCACAAAUUUCUGAGAGUCUUUUCACAGUGGAGCCACACAGGAUGCACUUAAUUCCCCCAAGCAAUGAGUUGUGACAACACACAUGAGAUGUUACCUACAAGGGAAGCUCAUUAGAGACCAAUGUCUAUGGUUUUUAUUGGGGGUCAUCAUAUAGCUUCCUUCUUCCUGGCACAUACUAAUAUCUCAGACUACCAGAAAGAAAAUAGCAUUUAGCAUAAACCAUGUUAUUUACGUAAACCCAGUAAGCCAUUUUUGUUAAGGAAUGAUGGGAACACUCCUGAAAUGUAAGUUCUCAGAUGCCAGUCAAUGGUCAAUCUUGUAAGCACAUCUUUCUAAUGAUACAAGUCUCAGGCUCACUUUGUUACCUCUUUUCUGCACAAAUGUUUAAAAACUUUCAUUUUAUCUAAUAUAAGCAUUUAAAGCUAUGCACUUCCCUCUAGCCAGUCUUUCUUUUAGUUGCAUACUACAAAUACUGAUAUAUUAUGUUUUUAUUUUUUCAUUCAGUUCAAAAUAUUUUCCAAUUUCCUUGUGAUCUCUGUUGCCCUGACUUCAAUUUCAUGGAUCUUUUUGCCUGUAUCUUUUUUUUUUUUUUUUUUUUUUUUUUGUCUUUUUAGGGCUGCACCCAUGGCAUAUGGAGGUUCCCAGGCUAGGGGUCGAGUUAGAGCUGUAGCUGCUGGCCUACACCACAGCCACAGCAACAUCUGAUCUGAGCUGUGUCUGCGAACUACACCACAGCUCAUGGCAACACUGGAUCCUUAACCUACUGAGUGAAGCCAGGGAUUGAACCCACAACUGCAUGUUUCCUAGAGGGAUUCCUUUCUGCUGAGCCACUACGGGAACUUCUGCAUAUGGCAUCUUAUCUGUUAUUAAUUCCUUACUAUGAAAUUUUUAUUUCAUAGAUUGUAUUUGUCAGCUCUAGAAAUUCUAUUUGUUUCUAUUUAUUUAUUUUUUAUUUAUCUUUUUGUCUUUUCUAGGGCUGCACCCGUGGCAUAUGUAAGUUCCCAGGCUAGGGGUCUAAUCAGAGCUGUAGCUGCUGACCUAUGCCAGAGCCACAGCAACGUGGGAUCCAAGCUGCAUCUGCUACCUACAUCACAGCCCUCGGCAAUGCCAGAUCCUUAACCCACUGAGCGAGGCCAUGGAUCGAAGCUACAACCUCAUGGUUCCUGGUCAAAUUCGUUAACUGCUGAGCCAUGAUUGGAACUCCUUUUUUUAUGGUUUUCAUUCAUUUCUGCUAUCUUGUCUCUUAAAUCUUUGAAUAACUUCAGCGUAAUUAUUUUAAAGUAUUUGCUAAUUCCAUUUCUAACAUCUAUGCAAAAUGAAUUAUUUUUCUUCUAGUCGUGGAUUGAAUUUUUCUGCUUUUUUGCAUAUUUAGCAGUUUUUGUUUGGAUGCUGAACAUUUUGAUGUUCCAUUGCUGUGUGUUUGGAUUUUGUUGUCUACUUUAAAGAGUAUUAAAAUAUAUUGCUUUGGCAGACAGUUAGUUUACUUGUAGAUCAAGUUGUUCCUUUUGAGGCUUAUUUUUAAGCUUUAUUAAGCUGAUCAAUGAAGCCUCUCUGCUCCGUUCUGGCUGCUUGGAAUUCAGAGUCAGCUCUGUGUGAGCUCUGAUAGUUGUUAAAUUCAUAGCUUCCUUGUAGUAAUUUUUCUCUGAUAGUUCGUCUUUGCCUGGCCUAUCAUGUCUCACCCUGGACACACCCAAUUUAUAAUUCAUUCUAAAGCUUAAGAGGACCUCUAUACAGAUUUCUGGAACUUUCUCUGCCUAGCUCCCUCCCCUCUGGUACUCUGCCUAUGACUUUCUAGAGCCUUAGCCUCCCUGUCCACCCUCUGUCUCAUCAGCUCAGUGAGGCUGCUAUGCUUUACUUGGAUUCUCUCUUUCUUCAGUGGCCUGGAACUUGUGUCCAAUUAGAAAACUGAGACAAUCAGAGUGCUUACCUCAUCCAUUUCCCUUCUCUCAGAAAUCACUGAUCUGUGCCUCUGUGUAAAAAUAGGUGCUUCUGUGUUUCUUCAGCUUCCUUUUCUUCUCUUGAAAAAAAAUUUUUUUUUAAGGGAGUUCCUGUCAUGGUGCAGUGGAAACAAAUCCGACUAGGAACUAUGAGGCUGUACGUUCGGUCCCCGGCCUCCCUCAGUGGGUUAAGGAUCCGGGGUUGCUGUGAGCUGUGGUGUGGCUCACAGACACGGCUCAGAUCCUACAUUGCUGUGGCAGCUCUGGUGUAGGCUGGUGGCUACAGCUCUGUUUUGACCCCUAGCCUGGGAACCUCCAUAUGCCAUGGAUGUGGCCCUAAAAAGACCAAAAAAAAAAAAAAAAA